AACGAACGCUGGCGGCAGGCCUAACACAUGCAAGUCGAGCGAGCAUUUCGGUGCUAGCGGCGGACGGGUGAGUAACGCGUGGGAACGUGCCCUUUUCUGCGGAAUAGUCCUGGGAAACUGGGGGUAAUACCGCAUACGCCCUUUUGGGGAAAGAUUUAUCGGAGAAGGAUCGGCCCGCGUUGGAUUAGGUAGUUGGUGGGGUAAUGGCCCACCAAGCCGACGAUCCAUAGCUGGUUUGAGAGGAUGAUCAGCCACACUGGGACUGAGACGCGGCCCAGACUCCUACGGGAGGCAGCAGUAGGGAAUCUUAGACAAUGGGGGCAACCCUGAUCUAGCCAUGCCGCGUGAGUGAUGAAGGCCUUAGGGUUGUAAAGCUCUUUCAGCUGGGAAGAUAAUGACGGUACCAGCAGAAGAAGCCCCGGCUAACUCCGUG
RNAcentral lists this ribosomal RNA (433 nucleotides) under uncultured bacterium. Its description in RNAcentral is "partial 16S ribosomal RNA". It matches the Rfam family "Bacterial small subunit ribosomal RNA", at positions 29 to 507 of the family's 1533-position model. The record is from RNAcentral.